CCCUACGGGGGGCAGCAGUGAGGAAUAUUGGUCAAUGGGCUUACGCCUGAACCAGCCAAGUCGCGUGAGGGAAGACUGCCCUAUGGGUUGUAAACCUCUUUUGUCAGGGAGCAAUUGGCGCUACGUGUAGCGUUAUCGAGAGUACCUGAAGAAAAAGCAUCGGCUAACUCCGUGCCAGCAGCCGCGGUAAUACGGAGGAUGCGAGCGUUAUCCGGAUUUAUUGGGUUUAAAGGGUGCGUAGGCGGAAUGCCAAGUCAGCGGUCAAAUCGUGGGGCUCAACCCCAUCCAGCCGUUGAAACUGGGGA
This 305-nucleotide ribosomal RNA is filed under the name uncultured bacterium. Its description in RNAcentral is "bacterial SSU rRNA". It matches the Rfam family "Bacterial small subunit ribosomal RNA", at positions 337 to 639 of the family's 1533-position model. The record is from RNAcentral.